GGUGCAUCUCAAAUGUGUGUUAGUAUCAAGUCUCACACAUAUGAUGACUCAUGUUACAGAAACGAAUGUAACAUUUUUAAUAUAUAAUGGAGUUUUAUACAAAAUAGUUAAAUAAUUAUAUCAUACGAAGACAACAAUCCAGCAACCAUAGUUAACUCGGAGACGACGGUCUAGACCUCUCACGAACUCAUCGUGACCUCCUUCAUGCUCCUAAUCUUGUGGUACAUGUUCAUGACCUGGGGAUGUGAGUACAUCAAGGGUGAACUCACAUACGUUCAUCGCUCAAUAAGUUGUGGAGAAUAAUGUGCAUGAGCUCACUUACGGUGAGGCUCAUGUGAAGUGUAAGGCUUACCGAAGGAGAUUAUUAAAGUUGAACAUUGCUUUUAAAGUUGGUCAAAGUUUUAUUAGCAGUUACUAAGUCUAAGUAGAUACCAACCCAAAUAUAUAAGAGAUCACAAUUAAUAAUAAAAUCACAAUGCAAUGAAAUGACAAAUUAAGUUUACUUCCAUAAAUUAAUCAUGUGAGUGUCUGAGCCGCUCAUGACCGUGAGCAUAGCUGAUAUACCAGUUUUACUGUCAGGGCCUAAGGAGGCCCAGGGAGGGGCUGCGGCACCAGCAGCCAUGGGCCCUCCAAGGGGAUUAGAUAAGGAUAGUUAAAGAUAAGAUUAGAAGAUUAGUUGAUAUUAUUUAUGAGAUUAGUUGAGAUUAUCUAGGAAGAUUAUCAGUUAGUUUGUUCAGAGAUUUUAGGAGAGUUUUAAGAAGAUAAGGAUCUCUAGCUAGAUAGACAGGGGCGACCAGUCAACCUAUUUAUGCAAUCAAUGGAUGAGAAAUAAAGUAGGCAAGAAUUAGAAGGGAGAAACCUUCCUCUUGCUCGGUCGUGGACAGAGGCCCUCGGCCGACGUUCCUGCCCAUCGACACCCCUCUCCAAUCCCUCACCGAUCUAGCGACCAUAACAUCUUACACUAUGCAAAGGUUGCACAUCUUUACCCACAAGUCGUCUUACUCAUCUGUCACGGGGUCAUGAAUCCCAUACACAUCUACCGAGGAGGCGAGACAGGAUAGCACUGCGAGACCUUUACAAAGUUUCACUAGCUUCAGAAAACCCGCUACAGUUUCUGAGAAGAGCAAUAUAGGGACCCCUCGUCCGAAAAGUCAUCGCAGCAUGAUCGGCCCGAGAAACUCCUUAUACCGCAGCUUCUCUACCGCCCUUGCCCCUUUCGGGGAAGGUAGCCCUCCACUAGUUUUCCUAAUUAGUCAGCCAUGAGCGUCCCAUACCAUUCUUGUGGUAACACUAUUUUCACGGGUGAUUCUCCAUGUUCCAAUGAACACAAUAAUCUUGUCAUGAACAAUAAUUAAAUCAACAAAAAAAUUGGAACAUGAUCAUAAUUCAGUAUAGCAUUAAUCCAAAAACCAGGUACAAAAAUAGAAAGUCUACACAAUAGUUAAUUUGUUUGCAAGAUGUGUGGUAAACAAAAUUAGGGUAACCUAUUAGGUCCCAUCAAAUUAUCAUGAGCAUGUCACCGUGAUUAAGCGGAGAACAUUAUUAGGUAGAGAAAAGUGAUCAAGGGCACAACUUGACUGUGACUCGAGUUUCCACACCAAGUUGGUCUUUAAAUUUCUCGUGACCUCGCUGCUACUCAUAGAAAUACAUACAAAUAGACAAGAGUACAUAAAAAUAAAAUUACACCAAACAUAAGAACAAACUGCGUAAGAAUUAUCUACACGUUGCCAUGAGAUUGUAGGUUCGAGAACCAUUAGAAUCGGGGUUAAAAUGAGAAAGUUAUGGGCUUUCUAUGUUUUAGGUGAUCAACCAGGAGAACUAUAAUCUAGGUUUGAUUAAUAUAAGCCAGCAAGGUUAUGACAAAUAAAUAACUAAUUUAUCUUUAAUUUUAGGUUAUAACUUGAUUAGAUGUUACAUUUUAGUCAAACUAUAGUUAUAGAUGUAUUAACUUUGAUUAGAAGGAAUAAUUUACUAAGCAUAGAUUAAAUGAAUAUUUAUUUGUGGAAACAUCUUAUUUACUAAAAUAAUGUCACGGAGGAAGCGUAGGUAAUGUUAUUACAAAGCUAACGCAACUGGAACGACUUAAAUCAGCGUUAAACCAAAUAAGUUAUAAAUUUAUUAACCUUCUAGAAUUGUUUUUAUGCUAAAAAUUCACUUUCUCAGAUUUAAUUUUAUAAUUAUUAAAGAAUCCGAACUGGGGAAACUAUUUUGUAAAAGAUCGCAGUUUAAUCUGCUAAAACAGGACUCAUUCGUAAUUACUUUUGACUAUGGAUGGACUGCGGGUUGAUUUGAACGAAACCCGAGGGCUCUUAUGAUAAAUCGCUCAUCCGAAGGGGUACAAAUGAUUUUGGGCCGCAGGUGAACAUGUAUGCAUCGGCCGCCCUUAGAUCGAGGAUCAACGACCCAGAUUUCUAAAGCACCAGAUGGGCACAGGUCCACCCAUUCUUAGAUCAAAGCGCCAGAUCGUUCAACCCCAAGCGGUAUGACGUCAAAUCUCUACCGCAUGUUGCAAGAUCAACAGCUCCUAGCCCACCCCUUUCCCUCAGCCACAUAUCACGGCGGCGCCGCCCUAACCGCGGCGGAGCUUCUCCGGUGAGUGAACAUCUAGGUGCCCCAGUGCCUAUUUCUACCCCGGUCAGCAGCUACGUGAUGCACCGAGCAUGGUGAAGAUGAUGGGGGUCUUACUAGGGUUCAGAGGCGAUAGAGAAGCCGACCCACGGUGAGUGGCAAAUCCACGACGGUGACACGCGCUGGUGAGCAAUUGCCCACGCUUGGGUCGAGGUCUUGGCUCGGCUAUCCCACGUACACACGCCGCACGCCGAGCGCAAACCCGGCGUCCCUCCUUGGUCCCUGAACAGCUUCUGAGGAUGAGGUACGUCGGCGACGACGGUCCAAGCUCCCAACGGUUCCCUCCCUCUCUCAAUGGCGAGGUCUGGUUUUAUAGGGGCGUGGAGUCCGCGGCCGCAACGAGCUCCAGAUCCCACCUAGGCCUUGUUCGCUUCGGCCGGGAUCAGUCUGGAUUGGAAAGAAUCCUCCCGGGAUCAGACCUCCGUGGUUGAAAUACCGGCCCACGCAAAAACAACGUUCGUUUAAGCCUGUUCGGGCGUCAACCCCGCCCAUCCCGGACGUUCCCACAUCAUCUCGACCGGGUUACAACCCUCG
This 3162-nucleotide long non-coding RNA is filed under the name Zea mays. RNAcentral describes it as "long non-coding RNA (ZMAY_LNC004664)". The record is from RNAcentral. Lineage: Eukaryota; Viridiplantae; Streptophyta; Magnoliopsida; Poales; Poaceae.